Molecule: ribosomal RNA, 497 nt
Filed under: uncultured bacterium
Lineage: Bacteria
Description: partial 16S ribosomal RNA
Rfam family: Bacterial small subunit ribosomal RNA
Source: RNAcentral
GAUGAACGCUGGCGGCGUGCCUAAUACAUGCAAGUCGAGCGAACAGACGAGGAGCUUGCUCCUCUGACGUUAGCGGCGGACGGGUGAGUAACACGUGGAUAACCUACCUAUAAGACUGGGAUAACUUCGGGAAACCGCAGCUAAUACCGGAUAAUAUAUUGAACCGCAUGGUUCAAUAGUGCAUGACGGUUUUGCUGUCACUUAUAGAUGGAUCCGCGCCGCAUUAGCUAGUUGGUAAGGUAACGGCUUACCAAGGCAACGAUGCGUAGCCGACCUGAGAGGGUGAUCGGCCACACUGGAACUGAGACACGGUCCAGACUCCUACGGGAGGCAGCAGUAGGGAAUCUUCCGCAAUGGGCGAAAGCCUGACGGAGCAACGCCGCGUGAGUGAUGAAGGUCUUCGGAUCGUAAAACUCUGUUAUUAGGGAAGAACAAAUGUGUAAGUAACUAUGCACGUCUUGACGGUACCUAAUCAGAAAGCCACGGCUAACUACGUG